RNAcentral lists this long non-coding RNA (801 nucleotides) under Setaria italica (foxtail millet). RNAcentral describes it as "long non-coding RNA (SITA_LNC001966)". The record is from RNAcentral. Lineage: Eukaryota; Viridiplantae; Streptophyta; Magnoliopsida; Poales; Poaceae.
GCAGCACCAAUUUUAAUUGUAUAUGCCGGAGUACAAUAUCAACAUCGAUAAAAAGAGGCAGCGAUCGAAUAUCAACAGGAUAACAGGCAGAGAUCCAUGGUGAUGAUCGGAGCUAGCAGUACAAGCAAAGCUAGUAGGCGAAUGGAGGAGGAUCGGAGGAGCAACUGAACUUAGAUCUUGCCGCGCGGGCCCGGCACCGGCGGCUGCUGCGGCCCCUUCUUGAUCGGCAGGAGGUCCGGCGACGCCGACGCGCUGACGUAGGCCAGCAGGGAUCCGCCGCCCAGCAGCAGGAACUUGAGCAGCAGGCCCCUCUUGGUGAACGGCCCCGCGAACGUCUCGAAGAACUUGCUCUGCAAACGCAGGAAUCGUUCGAAGCAAACAGAGUUUUGAGUAAGAUUGCGCAUGCAAAAAAAACCGCAGAAAUUAAGUGGAUGCUGAUGCAUCGAUCAUAACAACCUGAAGCGGGUUGUAGGGCGAGGGCGCGUCGGAGCCGUAGAGGUCCCACUGCCCGGUGGUGUUGCCGAUGUCGUCGAGGUCGAAGUAGACGCUCUUGUCGCCGUACUUGGCCACCACGGCGGCGCGGGGCCUGCGGGCGGAGCGGCAGGCGGCGCGGGGCGCCGGCCUGACGGCGAGCCUCCUGCCGGAGAUGGAGCUGCCGCCGAGGCCCUUCACGGCGACCGGCUGCACGGAGACGGCGGCGAGGGAGGCCAUGGCGUUCGCUGAGUACUGUCGAGGUUACUACCGGUAGUGUCCAAGUGCGUACGUGCGCAAACUUAAUUCGGCGGAUCGUGCUAAGGAUCC